This 433-nucleotide ribosomal RNA is filed under the name uncultured bacterium. RNAcentral describes it as "partial 16S ribosomal RNA". It matches the Rfam family "Bacterial small subunit ribosomal RNA", at positions 29 to 507 of the family's 1533-position model. The record is from RNAcentral.
AACGAACGCUGGCGGCAUGCCUAACACAUGCAAGUCGAACGAGACCUUCGGGUCUAGUGGCGCACGGGUGCGUAACGCGUGGGAACCUGCCCUUAGGUUCGGAAUAACUCCCCGAAAGGGGUGCUAAUACCGGAUAAUGUCUUCGGACCAAAGAUUUAUCGCCUUUGGAUGGGCCCGCGUUGGAUUAGCUAGUUGGUAGGGUAAAAGCCUCUCAAGGGGUCGAUACAUAGCUGGUUUGAGAGGAAGAUCAGCCACACUGGGACUGAGACACGGCCCAGACUCCUACGGGAUGCAGCAGUGGCUAAUAUAGCACAAUGGGCUAAAUCCUGAUCCAGCAAUGCCUCUUGAGUGAUGAAGGCCUUAGGGUUGUACAGCUCUUUUACCCGUGAUGAUAAUGACAGUACCGAGAGAAUAAGCACCGGCUAACUCCGUG